UGGGGGAUAUUGCACAAUGGGCGAAAGCCUGAUGCAGCGACGCCGCGUGGGGGAUGAAGGCUUUCGGGUUGUAAACCUCUUUCGCUAUCGAACAAGGCCCGCUUAGGGUGGGUUGAGGGUAGGUGGAGAAGAAGCGCCGGCUAACUACGUGCCAGCAGCCGCGGUAAUACGUAGGGCGCGAGCGUUGUCCUGAAUUAUUGGGCGUAAAGGGCUUGUAGGCGGCUUGUUGCGCCUGCUGUGAAAACGCGGGGCUUAACUUCGCGCGUGCAGUGGGUACGGGCAGGCUUGAGUGUGGUAGGGGUGACUGGAAUUCCAGGUGUAGCGGUGGAAUGCGCAGAUAUCUGGAGGAACACCGAUGGCGAAGGCAGGUCACUGGGCCAUUACUGACGCUGAGGAGCGAAAGCAUGGGUAGCGAACAGG
This 420-nucleotide ribosomal RNA is filed under the name bacterium. RNAcentral's name for it is "partial 16S ribosomal RNA". It matches the Rfam family "Bacterial small subunit ribosomal RNA", at positions 355 to 776 of the family's 1533-position model. The record is from RNAcentral.